Molecule: long non-coding RNA, 1083 nt
Filed under: Anas zonorhyncha (Eastern spot-billed duck)
Lineage: Eukaryota; Metazoa; Chordata; Aves; Anseriformes; Anatidae
Description: lncRNA (ENSAZOG00000015533.1)
Source: RNAcentral
AUGAAGACGUUGUUCUUGCGGCUGUGCCCGUGGAAGUCGCAGUACAGCACCACCUCCCGCUCCGCCAGCAGCCUGCGGGCUCCCGUCAGGAUGCGGCCGCCAGCACCGGCCCACCGGCUCCCCCGUGCGCCACCCUCACCUCUCCACCAUGGCCCGCAGGUGCCAGACAGCAGGGAAGGAGCCCCGGCACCCCGUCCCGUAGGCUCUGUUGGGGUCGCGGCCGGCCAGGGAGCAGCGCGAGUUGCCCACCACCACCCCGUCGGGGUUGAGCAUGGGCACCACCUUGAAGACGAAGAGGCGGCGCAGGAGCCGGGCGUCAGGGGCGGCGCUGAGGACGAAGUCGAGGAAGCCCCGCAUGGCCCAGGAGCCGCCGCUCUCGCCGGGGUGCGCGCGGGCGCUCAGCACCACCGCCCGCUUGCCCGCGCCGCCGGCCGGGCUGGUGAUGGUCAGCAGGUAGACGGUGUUGCCGGCCAAGCUGCGGCACAGCGCCCGCACCGCGCAGUACUGCGAGCGCACCGGGUCGCCCACCACCGCCCGCAGGUAGCGCUGCAAAUCCGAGUAGGUGUAGGGGUAGCAGUGGGCCAAGUAGCAGGUGUCGGCGUCGUGGGGGAAGCGCAUGCUCCAGGAGAGGCAGAAGGUGGCCGGCUCGUCCCCACCGCCCCGCCGGUAGUAGCGGACUUUGUCCCCGACACGGCGCCAGCCGACGGCACGGCUGCGGGCGUCCUGCUGCGAGUAGAGCAGCGGCCGCAUGCCCUCGCCGUAGAGGCUCUUGGGCUUCGCCAGGUUGGCAAUGGUGAAGCGGUAGACGGCGUCUCGCCGGGUGUUUUGCACGCGGAAAUAAAACCACUGCGUGUGCUUGGCGGUGUACAAGUCCGGCCGCAGCGUCAGCACGUACUCGUAGGGACCCCUGCCCAGGGGGAAGGGCCACACUGCGGCACCCGGCCCCGCUGCCGUGUCCCUCCAGCUGCCCCCACCCUGGCCCUGCUCUUACACCUUGACGGCUUUCUGGAGGUUGCCGCUCUCAAAGCGCGACUCGAACAGCAGCGUGGUGUCCUGGGGGCCCUCCAGGGACACCGCUGGUGA